Molecule: unclassified non-coding RNA, 378 nt
Filed under: plant metagenome
Description: partial contains 5.8S ribosomal RNA, internal transcribed spacer 2, and large subunit ribosomal RNA
Rfam family: 5.8S ribosomal RNA (bases 1-105)
Source: RNAcentral
GAAAUGCGAUAAGUAAUGUGAAUUGCAGAAUUCAGUGAAUCAUCGAAUCUUUGAACGCACCUUGCGCUCCUUGGUAUUCCUUGGAGCAUGCCUGUUUGAGUAUCAUGAAAUCUUCAAAGUAAAUCUUUUGUUAACUCAAUUGGUUUCUACUUUGGUAUUGGAGGUCUUUGCAGCUUCACACCUGCUCCUCUUUGUUCAUUAGCUGGAUCUCAGUGUUAUGCUUGCUUCCACUCGGCGUGAUAAGUUAUCUAUCGCUGAGGACACUGUAAAAGGUGGCCAAGGUAAAUGCAGAUGAACCGCUUCUAAUAGUCCAUUGACUUGGACAAUACUUUUAUGAUCUGAUCUCAAAUCAGGUAGGACUACCCGCUGAACUUAAGC